Molecule: transfer RNA, 66 nt
Filed under: Ixodes vespertilionis
Lineage: Eukaryota; Metazoa; Arthropoda; Arachnida; Ixodida; Ixodidae
Description: tRNA-Ile
Source: RNAcentral
AAUAAAAUGCCUGAAAAAGGGUUAUCUUGAUAGGAUAAAUUAUGUAGAUUUAGCCUACUUUUAUUA